Molecule: transfer RNA, 72 nt
Filed under: Symploca sp. SIO2G7
Lineage: Bacteria; Bacillati; Cyanobacteriota; Cyanophyceae; Coleofasciculales; Coleofasciculaceae
Description: tRNA-Thr
Rfam family: tRNA
About the family: Transfer RNA (tRNA) molecules are approximately 80 nucleotides in length. Their secondary structure includes four short double-helical elements and three loops (D, anti-codon, and T loops).
Source: RNAcentral
GCCAACGUGGCUCAGUGGUAGAGCACUCGAUUCGUAAUCGAGCGGUCAUGGGUUCAAAUCCCAUCGUUGGCU